AUUUGGAUAUCUUAAAAUUUUAAAGUUUAACUCUGAAGAAGUUAAUAUAGGAUUAACUCCUUCCAAAUA
Molecule: transfer RNA, 69 nt
Filed under: Picromerus griseus
Lineage: Eukaryota; Metazoa; Arthropoda; Insecta; Hemiptera; Pentatomidae
Description: tRNA-Phe
Source: RNAcentral